RNAcentral lists this ribosomal RNA (449 nucleotides) under uncultured bacterium. RNAcentral's name for it is "partial 16S ribosomal RNA". It matches the Rfam family "Bacterial small subunit ribosomal RNA", at positions 29 to 523 of the family's 1533-position model. The record is from RNAcentral.
AACGAACGCUGGCGGCAUGCCUAACACAUGCAAGUCGAACGAGAUCUUCGGGUCUAGUGGCGCACGGGUGCGUAACGCGUGGGAAUCUGCCCUUUGGUUCGGAAUAACAGUUGGAAACGACUGCUAAUACCGGAUGAUGACGAAAGUCCAAAGAUUUAUCGCCAGAGGAUGAGCCCGCGUAGGAUUAGCUAGUUGGUGUGGUAAAGGCGCACCAAGGCGACGAUCCUUAGCUGGUCUGAGAGGAUGAUCAGCCACACUGGGACUGAGACACGGCCCAGGCUCCUGCGGGAGGCAGCAGUGGGGAAUAUUGGACAAUGGGCGAAAGCUUGAUCCAGCAAUGCCGCGUGAGUGAUGAGGGCCUUAGGGUUGUAAAGCUCUUUUACCCGGGAUGAUAAUGACAGUACCGGGAGAAUAAGCUCCGGCUAACUCCGUGCCAGCCGCCGCCGUAA